AGGAAGACACCCAUUUAUCUGGUACGGCCUUCCGAUGAUCUCACAGUGUGGGGCAUGGUGGGGCUCGGUCACAGGAUUCAAGGAAGCAAGGACAUCGCGAAGGUGAAGGACGAUGGAGUGGGAGAUCAACGAGAGCCGAAAUGCACUUUCCAGAACGGGACCCGUUGACGCCUACAAACCAAAGAAGACGUCUCUCGAGGAAGAGCUCAGGGUUUUGUAGCAGAAGGUGGACAUUAACAAGUACAAUUACAAGCCGAUUCCUCGCUCAAUUGAAAGCAAUAAAUAAAUGACUGAUUACCAUGUGGUUUUGUUUUGUUUAUGUGAUUGGCGGGAAUUAGUUCAAGUUUUUUGCCCAAUCAAUAAGCAAUUAACAAUUUAACAUGAUGUUUGAUGUUUCAUUCUCUCAACUACACCUUCCAGGAUGGAUUCUGCACAACCUUCUUAGAUCUAGCUUUUGGUUAGGGUGCUUUCUUCAGUUUGGGGCGAUGUAUUCCUUCAUGGCGGCUGUUGCGGUGGUGGCAGCGACGUGGCUACCGUUGUGCUGAUGGAGAUUAGGGUUUUGAUGUUGUGUUUUCUUACUUUGUCUACAAGCCUAAGUGUAUGUGAGCCUCCCAUUAUGUAUUGGGUUGUUGCUCUCUCUUUGCUUGGGCCUGUUUUUAUUUUAAGUCUUGCUUUUCUUAUGUAGGAUUUUAUGUUUUUAUAUUUUGGUUGGGUUUAGGCCUAUCUUGCACAAAUUGUAUUCUCCCUUCCAUGAAUGAAGCAAUGGAAUUUUACGGGAUAAUUUUCA
Molecule: long non-coding RNA, 787 nt
Organism: Pyrus x bretschneideri (Chinese white pear)
Lineage: Eukaryota; Viridiplantae; Streptophyta; Magnoliopsida; Rosales; Rosaceae
Exons: 2
Source: RefSeq, a predicted model, not a curated record